CUGGUCUUCUUCUUGUUGCUUUGCUCUUCUUCCUGCUGAGGCUGCUGCUCCCCGGCCCCUGCGUGCUCCGCUACGCAGUACCGGCAUCUUUCAUCCUCUUUUUCUUAUUAUUACUACUAUUUUUCUCAUCACACUAAAUCGAUUAACUCGAUAAUCAAAAACUCUAAAACCAAUUGAAUCGCAACAAAAAACCUCAAGAAACAGGACGAUUCAAGGAAAGAGAACUAAAACGACACCGUAAGUGCAUCUACUGUGAAUAGAGAAGGAAAAGAGAAAUGUAACAAUAAUUUUAAAUAAAUUAGGUUUAUAUUUUUUUGGGAUAUUAGAGAGAGAGAAGAAGAGACUGUGAAGUACUUUUUGUUACAGGGAAAGAUAAAUUUCUUUCCUAAAUCUGGAGACGAUUACGUGGGCGAAUAUGGACCGCUGAUGGAAGGAAAUUUACGGGGAGGAUUGAGGUUUUGAUUCUGGAAAUUAUUAUGUUAGAAAAGGAAAAGAAGGACAGUAGUGGAAAUGACAAAAAGGGGCUUUGAG
This 531-nucleotide long non-coding RNA is filed under the name Ricinus communis (castor bean). Its description in RNAcentral is "long non-coding RNA (RCOM_LNC000671)". Lineage: Eukaryota; Viridiplantae; Streptophyta; Magnoliopsida; Malpighiales; Euphorbiaceae. The record is from RNAcentral.